Molecule: ribosomal RNA, 1623 nt
Filed under: Streptomyces sp. Amel2xB2
Lineage: Bacteria; Bacillati; Actinomycetota; Actinomycetes; Kitasatosporales; Streptomycetaceae
Description: bacterial LSU rRNA
Rfam family: Bacterial large subunit ribosomal RNA
Source: RNAcentral
AGGUGAUGCUAAGCCCGUGAAGCCCCCGGUUGUUGUCUUCGGAUGACGGCUGGUGUGGUGGAGCCGGCGGACCGAGCUUGUAGUAGGUGAGUGAUGGGGUGACGCAGGAAGGUAGUCCAGCCCGGGCGGUGGUUGUCCCGGGGUAAGGGUGUAGCCCGAGGAGCAGGUAAAUCCGCUUCUCACGUAAGGGUGAGACCUGAUGCCGAGCCGAUUGUGGUGAAGUGGAUGAUCCUAUGCUGUCGAGAAAAGCCUCUAGCGAGUGCUGUUGCGGCCCGUACCCUAAACCGACUCAGGUGGUCUGGUAGAGAAUACCGAGGCGUUCGGGUGAACUAUGGUUAAGGAACUCGGCAAAAUGCCCCCGUAACUUCGGGAGAAGGGGGGCCACGGCCGGUGAAGAGUCUUGCACUCGGAGCUGGUGGUGGCCGCAGAGACCAGCGAGAAGCGACUGUUUACUAAAAACACAGGUCCGUGCGAAGCCGUAAGGCGAUGUAUACGGACUGACGCCUGCCCGGUGCUGGAACGUUAAGGGGACCGGUUAGUCACAUUUCGGUGUGGCGAAGCUGAGAACUUAAGCGCCAGUAAACGGCGGUGGUAACUAUAACCAUCCUAAGGUAGCGAAAUUCCUUGUCGGGUAAGUUCCGACCUGCACGAAUGGCGUAACGACUUCUUGACUGUCUCAACCAUAGGCCCGGUGAAAUUGCACUACGAGUAAAGAUGCUCGUUUCGCGCAGCAGGACGGAAAGACCCCGGGACCUUUACUAUAGCUUGAUAUUGGUGUUCGGUUCGGUUUGUGUAGGAUAGGUGGGAGACUGUGAUAUUCGAGCGCCAGCUCGGGUGGAGUCGUUGUUGAAAUACCACUCUGAUCGUGCUGGAUGUCUAACCUGGGUCCGUGAUCCGGAUCAGGGACAGUGUCUGGUGGGUAGUUUAACUGGGGCGGUUGCCUCCUAAAGAGUAACGGAGGCGCCCAAAGGUUCCCUCAGCCUGGUUGGUCAUCAGGUGGUGAGUGUAAGUGCACAAGGGAGCUUGACUGUGAGACUGACGGGUCGAGCAGGGACGAAAGUCGGGACUAGUGAUCCGGCGGUGGCUUGUGGAAGCGCCGUCGCUCAACGGAUAAAAGGUACCCCGGGGAUAACAGGCUGAUCUUCCCCAAGAGUCCAUAUCGACGGGAUGGUUUGGCACCUCGAUGUCGGCUCGUCGCAUCCUGGGGCUGGAGUCGGUCCCAAGGGUUGGGCUGUUCGCCCAUUAAAGCGGUACGCGAGCUGGGUUUAGAACGUCGUGAGACAGUUCGGUCCCUAUCCGCUGCGCGCGUAGGAGUCUUGAGAAGGGCUGUCCCUAGUACGAGAGGACCGGGACGGACGGACCUCUGGUGUGCCAGUUGUUCUGCCAAGGGCAUGGCUGGUUGGCUACGUUCGGGAGGGAUAACCGCUGAAAGCAUCUAAGCGGGAAGCCUGCUUCGAGAUGAGGACUCCCACCCCCUGUGUGGGGUUAAGGCUCCCGGGAGACGACCGGGUUGAUAGGCCGGAUAUGGAAGACCUGUGAGGGUUGGAGUUGACCGGUACUAAUAAGCCGAGGGCUUGACCACACAUGUUUCGCGUCCACUGUGCAGCUCUGAAACCACAACCA